CCUACGGGUGGCUGCAGUGAGGAAUAUUGCGCAAUGGAGGCAACUCUGACGCAGCCAUGCCGCGUGCAGGAAGAAGGCGCUACGCGUUGUAAACUGCUUUUAACCGGGAAGAAACCCCUCUACGUGUGGAGGGUUGACGGUACCGGAGGAAUAAGCACCGGCUAACUUCGUGCCAGCAGCCGCGGUAAUACGAAGGGUGCAAGCGUUAUCCGGAUUCAUUGGGUUUAAAGGGUGCGUAGGCGGGGCGUUAAGUCAGUGGUGAAAUCCUGCAGCUC
RNAcentral lists this ribosomal RNA (275 nucleotides) under uncultured bacterium. RNAcentral describes it as "partial 16S ribosomal RNA". It matches the Rfam family "Bacterial small subunit ribosomal RNA", at positions 338 to 610 of the family's 1533-position model. The record is from RNAcentral.